This 255-nucleotide ribosomal RNA is filed under the name uncultured prokaryote. RNAcentral describes it as "partial 16S ribosomal RNA". It matches the Rfam family "Bacterial small subunit ribosomal RNA", at positions 523 to 777 of the family's 1533-position model. The record is from RNAcentral.
AUACGGAGGGUGCAAGCGUUAUCCGGAUUCACUGGGUUUAAAGGGUGCGUAGGUGGGUAGGUAAGUCAGUGGUGAAAUCUUCGAGCUUAACUCGGAAACUGCCAUUGAUACUAUUUAUCUUGAAUAUCUUGGAGGUGAGCGGAAUAUGUCAUGUAGCGGUGAAAUGCUUAGAUAUGACAUAGAACACCAAUUGCGAAGGCAGCUCACUACACGAUUAUUGACACUGAGGCACGAAAGCGUGGGGAUCAAACAGGA